CCUCUAUUAUUUAUUCUGUAAAGUAUGGGAACUGAACCUCAAAAGAAGGUUUUUGUCAGUUUGACAAUGCAUAGUAAAAUAAUUGCCUUUUAAAUUCAUUCCUUAGAAGAAGCAAAAAGAAGAAAAGAAGUUCCAGAAAAGAAAGCUAUUCAUGAAGUUAAAACAAAAGGUACUACCUUAUUUUAAAAUGUGGCAGUUAAUUUACCCACUCUUCAGAGACCUCUGCCUAUUAUAAUUCCUAAAGAAAUAGAAAUAAAAAUAAUUUAUGGUUCGUGUCUUAGAAGCAGAAGAAAGAAAAAAGGUAACUCACAAGAAGAAAAUUAUUCCUGAAAUUAAAGGGAAAGCUUUGGAACAGGAAAAGAAGGUAACCCAAGAGAAGAAAGCUAUUUCUGAAACAAAAAUUAAAGGGGGAAAAGAAGAAAGAAAGAAAGCUCUUGAGAAAACAGCUGUCCCUGAAGUUAAAAAGGCAGAACCAGAAAAAGCUCCUGCAGCCCAUCCAGCUUCUGUGAAGGUAGCUGUGCGAGAACCAUUCAAGAAAGAAAAGCCAGUCGAAAGAGCCAAGCAGCCAGUGAAGGAUGUGCCUGUAAAAGCAUCAGCAGUACAUGAAAAGAAAGAAGACAGAUUAUUAAAGGCAGUGGAGCAAGACAAACCAAAAUCCAAAGAAACAAAAGAUAUCAGAGGGAAAGAAGCAAAACAUGUGGCACCAAAAGUCAAAGAUGUUGCAAAAGAAAAAGUGAAGUCUCCUACUACUGUGAAAGAAAAAGAGGCAGUAAAACCAAAGGAAGUAAAGCCUACCAUUCCCCAGAAGCAGAAAGCACCUGAAGUGAUAAAAGAAACCAAAGAUACUUCUCAUCGUGCCAUUGCAGGACAAGAGGUUCUUAAGCACGACAAAGGAGCUCCUCAAGGAAAGCCAGAAGAAAUCACAGUAGCAGAUAAGAAAAAAGCAGAAAAGCCUUUGAAGGAAAAAGACAGAAAAAUGGCAGCGGUGACUCAUUUGAAAGAAGAAAAAGCCAAGGUCCCAGCAGUAAAAGAAUCCCAUCACCAUCGUAACAUGACAACAGACAAGCUUUCAAAGGCUUCAAAAGCAACAGCUGCUGUCCGCUACUAUCAGUGUGUCUUUGUAAAUGGAUACAAUGACUACAAACCGCAACACCCUGUUACCCCUGCCCAGGACUACAAAGGAAAGGCCGGGCAGACAAAAAAUUCUGGGCACAAGAUCAAGACACUGAAACAAUAG
RNAcentral lists this long non-coding RNA (1237 nucleotides) under Pogona vitticeps (central bearded dragon). Its description in RNAcentral is "lncRNA (ENSPVIG00000023027.1)". The record is from RNAcentral. Lineage: Eukaryota; Metazoa; Chordata; Lepidosauria; Squamata; Agamidae.